RNAcentral lists this ribosomal RNA (290 nucleotides) under uncultured bacterium. RNAcentral's name for it is "partial 16S ribosomal RNA". It matches the Rfam family "Bacterial small subunit ribosomal RNA", at positions 773 to 1060 of the family's 1533-position model. The record is from RNAcentral.
GUGGAUUUGAUACCCGGGUAGUCCACGCCGUAAACGAUGAUAACUAGCUGUCAGGGCACUUGGUGCUUUGGUGGCGCAGCUAACGCAUUAAGUUAUCCGCCUGGGGAGUACGGUCGCAAGAUUAAAACUCAAAGGAAUUGACGGGGGCCUGCACAAGCGGUGGAGCAUGUGGUUUAAUUCGAAGCAACGCGCAGAACCUUACCAGCGUUUGACAUGUCCGGACGAUUUCCAGAGAUGGAUCUCUUCCCUUCGGGGACUGGAACACAGGUGCUGCACGGCCGUCGCCAGCU